This 72-nucleotide transfer RNA is filed under the name Candidatus Pacearchaeota archaeon. RNAcentral's name for it is "tRNA-Arg". It matches the Rfam family "tRNA". Rfam says of the family: Transfer RNA (tRNA) molecules are approximately 80 nucleotides in length. Their secondary structure includes four short double-helical elements and three loops (D, anti-codon, and T loops). The record is from RNAcentral. Lineage: Archaea; Nanobdellati.
GCCCCUAUAGGUUAAUGGAUAGACUGCUGGCUUGCGGAGCCGGUGAUCGCGGUUCGAGUCCGCGUGGGGGCA